UAGUAACGGCGAGUGAAGCGGGAAGAGCACAAAUUUAAAAUCUACCUGGUUUCCAGGUCGAGUUGUAAUUUGAAGAUACGUUUUUGAYGUUCCGGGUUGGACUAAAUCCUUUGGGAUAAGGUAUCAUGGAGGGUGAGAAUCCCGUAUAUACCAACCGYAGGRAUGUUAUUUAAUACGUUUCUAAGAGUCGAGUUGUUUGGGAAUGCAGCUCUAAAUGGGUGGUAAAUUUCACCUAAUGCUAAAUAUAAGCGAGAGACCGAUAGCGAACAAGUACCGUGAUGGAAAGAUGAAAAGAACUUUGAAAAGAGAGUUAAAUAGUACGUGAAAUUGUUGAAAGGGAAACGAUUGAAGUCAGUCAUGCCGGUGGGAAUCAACUUAGGGGAAACUCUGAGUGCACUUCUUCGCYUGGCAGGUCAACGUCGAUUUUGGAUGUCAUAAAAUGAUUGGGGGAAGGUAGCUCCUUCGGGAGUGUUAUAGCCCUUGGUAGAUGUGAUGUCUGGGAUCGAGGAUUGCAAUGGAUACCCUUUGGGGCUANCCCCCUGAUCUCUAAUUGGUAUUGGGUUACGGACAGCAUGCUGACCGUGAUYUAAUUAUYGGUUAAAAGGUUAGAGCGNGCAUAAAUUC
This 624-nucleotide ribosomal RNA is filed under the name Gigaspora albida. RNAcentral's name for it is "eukaryotic LSU rRNA". It matches the Rfam family "Eukaryotic large subunit ribosomal RNA", at positions 81 to 614 of the family's 3401-position model. Lineage: Eukaryota; Fungi; Glomeromycota; Glomeromycetes; Diversisporales; Gigasporaceae. The record is from RNAcentral.